GGCGCACUCGCGCUCGUUUUCCGCUCUUGCUCUUCACACAAAAAAAUCUCUGUCAAAAACUUGUAUUUUCUCCUCUUACUCCUCUUAAAAGCGAUCACAGUAGGUUAUAGGUACUACAAUUUCCUAAUUCCUACACUUAAAAAAGUUAAAAGAGUUCAACUUGCUAGCUAUUAGCUAGUUUUUGAUGGGCAAAGUUGCCAGUUUCGAAAACACGAAAACAUUUUGUUUCAAAAACACAAGUUUGUCAAAAUUACUGUCCGAUAAAUUUGAACGUUUUGGAACAAAAAUGAGUCCCGCAUUGCUGAAAAGACGAUUUUGGAUGUCGUCUGUACAAUUGCGUAUUUUUUCACACAAAAAAAAUUGAUAGCGCACUAAGUUUGGACCAAAUGUUUUUAUUGCUGACUGAUAGAUGGCGUUCGCGUUCGAGCGAGUCGCUCAGCAGGUCUUCGCUCAAGCUCAAGCUCACGUUAUUUUUAAUUGAGCGGCUCGCGCUCAACGCUCAGUGAAAAUCGCGAGCGCGCUCUUUUUUCGCUCAAGCUCAGAGCGCGCUCCGCCCGACUCUGAUCACAGUUAUGUUAUCUUCAACAUUAGACUGAGGUCUAUUGAUCUCUCCCCAAUUUCAGAAAUUAGAAAUUCAAGGCGUGUCAUAAGAGAUGGAAUACGAUUAAUUAAACAGGUUUUGGAAUUGCAGAGCAGUAGGUUUACUGUAAACGUGACGUCUUCAAGGAAUGCGUCAUUAGUAUUUUCGAUCUGACCUUGUGAUUGAUAUAAACUCGGAUAUCAGAAUCUUCACAACAGGAAGAAAAACCUUUUUCCUCCCCCAUUUGUCCUGUUCAGCAUCCGAGAGUCAAACUCCAGAGAAGUCUACCUGUACGUCACUGGCCUUGAAAAAAAAGAGAACCUUUAUGCAUAUUAAAACAAUCUGAUUGAUAGACUACCGAACUGCCGAACAUAGACGCCCAAAAGAAUCGACGACAACAACCAAAUUAAAAUGUGGAAUGUAUUAAAUAUUUUUAAAAAUGUUCGAGUAAUGCAAUUUGAAAAAAAAAAAACACACACCCCCCCAAAAUAAGAUCACCACAAUGACGAUGAUUGGCCGUACUAUUUUUAUCCGGAAAUGCUAAUGGCUCCAGCACUAGCCGAAACACCGCCACCAGGUAGGGGUCCUGCUCCGGCAGCAGCGAAUCGAUUCGGUGAACCCACUGCAACGGAUACUGGACGUACCGAACCUGAUGUUGGACGGAAUGAUGUCUGCUGACGCACGGGAAUUGUGGUAGGACGGAACGCAGACGGACGCAGGCUUGUUGAAGAUGGGCGAAUUCCGGAAGAGCCGAUUGCUGCAACUGCAUUUCCUCCCGAAGUGAAGCGAUUGCCACCCGAACUGACGGCGACGGCGCUGCCUCCUGAACUGAAUCCGUUUCCUCCUGAAGAGACGAUGUAGAUACCUUGCCCACCGGGUAUGUAGAACGGUCGAAUAAUAGUGUUACCAUUAGUCGGGUAACGCGUCCCGGUUACGCCAUUCAAGCCUUGAGUGGCAGCUGCAAAUGUAUUGGCGACGGCAGCAUUAGCAGCCGCGACGACUCGGUUGUUGAUUUGAUAAGUCAAUCCCGCGAUUUGAUUGUGAAUAUCGUUAGCUAUGCUGUAAGGAUUGUACGGGUAGAAUUGGGGAGCCCGACGAUCCCGAUUUGCGUUGACAAUGUGCACCGAUAAAACGGCCAUGGCCACUAGCAUGAUCUGCAUCAACCCGGAAACGGAAAAAGAAAGGACAAAAAAGGGUUUCAACAAAUUUUACCUGAACGGAAUUCAUUUUUUCGCGAAACUUCACAGUGACAACUGACUUGGACAAGAGGACGGCACCAACUGGUUGUUCCAUGUCCAUACUUUCACCUUUUAUACACCAUGUGUUUUGUUUUGUUUUCCUUCCAGUUUCUAUUAUCACGUUUCUUCCUUCCCACUUUUUUUCACGACUUUGUGUGUGCCGGCUAGAAGAAAAAAAAAGAAGCAACCGCAACCGGCCAUACUAGAAACAUAAGGAAUAGGAAGGCGUAGUGGAACAUUUCAACAUCGAUAAACAACUGAGACAGAGAGAAAAUGACUUUAAAAAAAUGAUGAAACUGAAAAAUAAAUUUUUUCACGAUCCCGAAAAAUUUCCCCUACAUCGUCAUGUUGACUGGUGUAGGUGGAAAUGCAAAUUUGUUUUGGGAAUUUCCUAUGAGACAACAACAAAGAAAUUCUUUGAUCUUCUUGACAUAUUCCUACUCCAGAUCGAUCAGUUCACGUUGAUUGAAUUUCGUGACCUCCAAUUCAUUCGUCAAGCCGAAAAUGUCUAAAUAGAAGAACCGAAUUGAAGGUUAAACACAAAAAAAAAAAAGG
This 2373-nucleotide long non-coding RNA is filed under the name Daphnia magna. RNAcentral's name for it is "uncharacterized LOC116915862". Lineage: Eukaryota; Metazoa; Arthropoda; Branchiopoda; Diplostraca; Daphniidae. The record is from RNAcentral.